GUGCAGUGCGCGCCACACGCGUUACCUCAGAGCGGUGGGUGUUACGGACGGCGAAUGUGUCGGUGUUUAACUCUUGAAGCUCCCGUUUGGGGAACAGAGGUGCUUCGUUCCGAGGUUUGUGUGCUCGGGGAGCGGAGCCCUCCUCGCUGUCCCCUCAGUGUGCCCUUGAGGCGGCUGAAACCCCCGCGGGAAAGAGGCACGUCAGCAAAGCGCCUUCUGCCUCCCUUCAGCGUUCCCGCUGUGCCGUGUGGAGACGGUUCAGUCAGCCCUAGCUGCCGAAACACCCACCUCAGCUCCCAGCACGCGGGAAGCAUAACACGACCUGGCUCAAGAAGGGAGCUGCGGAAACGGAACACAUCCCAAGGGAUGAGAGCACUUCUCGAAGAGGAGAUCCCUCGCCGAAGAUCUUUGGCAGUACCAGUAAUUAUGCUGAGAAAACAAGCCUAAACUGUCACCACAAACAGAUUGGGGUUUUGUUCUACAGCCCCUUCCAUGAUCAGUAAGAGACUGUACCAACUGAAAAGUUCUGGUGAGAGAUUUAAAAUCAUAUCUGAGGUGUUUUGUAGAGAUCUACGAACCUGAAUUCACAGAUUCAGUAGAAAAUGAAAGACUUUUUUUUUUUUUUUUUUUUUUUUAAUGCUACUCUCUCCUCUUGAAAUCUAGGUUUUCCAUAGCUGUGGGUUUGGGUUUUGGCUCGCUUUUUUUUUUUUUUUGACAUGAACUCUCUGUCUAUAAAUAUCUGGGGAGAUUCUUCUCAUUAUUUCCCUCCUAUGUGAGCUUGACAAGAAAAAAUCUAAUCACCAUUCAGGAAACGACAAAACAGGUUUACUUGAUACGUUCUGCAGUACAGCUGUGAAUAUGGCACAGGACACUGAAAGGUCAAAGGGCUUAUACUCCACCACGACUGAUCUCACAUCCUCUCGCAAUAUCAGAUUUGCUGGUUCUGUAAAAGCACAGGUAUUUGCACAGCUGAAAUACUACAAAAUAGUUUCAGCCCAAGGGGAGGUGGGAGGAAAAAAAUGAUAUUUACAGUUCCAAGGAGGUUUCGAUUUCCCCUUUCCCUAGCGGUACAGUUUUGUUUUCUGCAAGAUUUCAACUGUUGUAACCAGAACUUUGAGCGCUAGAUCGCUUGAUCCAAACAUCAGGCAUGUCUGGUUGGCUGUUCGGUAACACAACGGGCCCUUCACUCCCUAAUCCAAAUCGAUUUUUCCACGAAGAGCUGUUCUGCUGCGAUGCUGCUGGAGAGAUAUCAAAGACAGUCUCCCUCAGGUCCAGACGCAGUGUAUCUCUCUUCCCGUUCAAGUAGCCUCUCUCUGUUUGACUGUACGAAUCAGAGAGCUCUAAGACAUCAGGACAAGAACUGGCUGAUUCAGCGAGCUUUAGGCCUUGUUCAAAAUCACUAAUCGAUGUCUCACUGGAGAUGUUGAGCAUGUCAAAAGAGCUGCCAAGAGAACAAAGGCAUCUGUGAAUUUUGUAGAUGUCAGCAGCAGGAAGAUGGCUGUUGUCUGAGGUAUAAUCCGACUGCUGCUGGGCAGUGUCAGUGGAGCACUGUGAUUUAUUGAGCUGCCCUUCUUCAUUCACACCAGCUGGCUGAAUAUAGUCCAGCCCAGAACUAUCCCAAGCUUUUGGGCUGUAUUUCCGACACUGACAAUCUCUGCAUAACCUCUCCCUGUGAAUUUCUGCUCCUGAGCUGCUGUGCUUGUAAGGAGAGGAAGUUUGCAAGGCAGGACACUGGCACAGGACAGCCUGGUCAUCUCCAAGGUUCUCUUGCAGAUUCUGUCUCUCUCUUUCAAGGGGAGGGUGCGUUCCUAUUCUCGGGCACCUGUUAUCUUCAGCUUGCAUGUCUUCAGAGAGCACUGAUGGCCUGUUGGACAGCUUGCUUGUGGAUGUGCUGUUGUCAAAACUGUCGCUGAGUUUUCUGGACAAAGGCUGGAGCUCGUAUUGCUCAUUUGCAGUGUUGGACUCCUGGACCUUCCGCAGUCGGUUUUGCUUCUCAUUUCCCCCACAGGCAUAGGUUCCAUUUGGCUCAGAGUCAUCAGAAUAAUCUUUUAUGGUGUGGGCGCAAGGCCAAAGGAUCUGCCCGCAGUUCUUCUCCGGGCCAAAGAAGCAGCACAGUGACUGGAAGAAGAAGCUGGCAAACCCACAGCUGAUACACUUGAUCAUCAUUAUAAAUAUGCCCAACUUUCUAUAGGCCAGGACUGUAGCGGGCAACAUAAUGACUCCUGCAGAGAACAAGGCAGAUGCUGCCAUCGCGGUGGCACAGCUCAUCUGCUUCAGGGAAAAGGCCACUCGGCUCAGGCGGUCCGAAUGGGGGCACAGGUGGUAGGAGAUACAGUAGUUGACGGUAAAGUCAACAGAGAGACCUACUGCAGCUGAAAUGAAGAGAGACUCCACUGCGUUGAGCUGCCACUCCAAGAGGACCAAAAGGCCAACGGUUACCAGGACAGUGCCUGCAAUGGCAGUCACAGAGAAAACACUAAGGAGAACAUUCCAGGUAGUGAGCAGCAGCACCACAAAAGAAAUGGCAAUAGAGAGCCCCAUGACCACCAUUGUUUCUGUGCUGAGACUGUGCUGGAGGUUGUAUAGCUCUAGUUUACUGGUAAACCACCCAUUCUGAAGUCCCACAGGGGCAGUUUUCAUUUCUUCUGUUACCCAGAGGUUGAUUUCUUCAUAGAAGUGUUUGGCUUUGCUGUAAUUGAAGCUAUAGUGAUAAACAGUUUGAAACUGCAGUACUAAGGCAGCAAGAUUUCCCUCUCCAUCAAAUCUGAGGCCCAGAUCGUAUGUUUCUGCCCCUUCCCUGCCUUGUUCCAGGAGCAUCAUUUUGAUGCAGUGUAGGAAGACUUCGCUUCCAUAAGGGAAAGAGAACUGGUUACAGCACAGGCUGAAGCUGUUGUCUCUCUGGGAGCACUGGCGACUAUCCAUCCACCUGACAAACUCCUCCAUGAAACACACAGUAGAUUUCUGCUCUGUAUCAAGGUAAUAGAAAGUUUGGUUCUUCACCUUUUGACAGAAUUCAAAGAGCCACUUCUGGGCAUCGGGACUUUGGAUAGUGAAGGUGGCAUCUGCCACCAGGGUGCCAUUGCUUUUUGGAUUGAAAUGGUCCCCAUUAUCCACAGGCAGGAUACCCCAGAUGAUAGUGACAGGCAUACGCUGCCCUUCUCCACGCUCUAGCCUCUCAAACAUGAACUGAUGGCAGUACUCAGAGUCGUACCUCUCAAAGGGGUGGCUCAGUCUGAACACCUGGACAGACGACGACUCAAGAGUUGGGAGUUUGAGUUUUGGGUUGGAACAGGAGAUGUAGGCACCUCCGAUUGCUAAGGCGGCAAACCAGCAGAUCCAGAUGUACCGAAACUUGAUGACCCCACAAGGCAAAAGCUUUUCAAAUAACAACUUGGAGGUUUCGCACAACGUCUUCUGGAGACCCCUGAGAACAUAGUGGAGGGAGAGAGCGACUCUCUUGUGGCCGGUGUUUUUCCAGUAGUCUUCCGGCUUGUAAACGCAGGUUGUCGCAAUGUAGCGCUCGUACAGCACAGCCGAAGAAGGAAGCCAAGUCAUCAUGAAUACGAGAUUCACCAGGACGGAGGUGCCCAUGUAAACAGCAAAGCAGCGGAUGGCUAUUAUGUUGCUAAUGUAGCUGGCGUAGAAGGCAGCACCCGUUGUGAAGCAGGAUGCCAGCAUGAGAUACGCAAAGUGGUGCAUGGUUUGACUCACCCGCUGUGAAAGCCCAGCAGAAGGGUUCUGGCUCUUGCUCAGGUUCCAGAGGUCAAAGAAGACGAAGGUGUGGUUGGCACAAAUGCUGCUGAGAAUGAUAACAGCCGUCAGGUUUACAAAAGGGAAGUAGGUGAAUCUGAAGGCCACCUUGUACAAGAAGUAGGAGAUCAUCAAAGAGCUGACGACAGUGAGCAGGACCAUCAAGCUCAACUGGAUGCAAAGAGAUGCAGAGAAAAGGAAGAGGAGCUGUAUGGCAGGUGACAGGCUGGAACAAGCUGCUCCUGAGACCCACAGGAAUGAGUUGCAUUUGUCAUGCUGCUUCCCCCUCUCUUCCCUUGAGACGUCUAGACAAGAUAAUAAUCCAAUUUAUGAAACUGCCCAAGUCCCUCUAAGUGCAGCAACGCUUUUCCAAGGCAAGCAACAGUGCGCAGGCAGCCCACCAGAUGUGCAGGAACCAGCAAAAGGGCUGAAGCCUCUUCCCACAGUAAAACAGUCAGGAUAACACCAUUGUUAUUGCUUAUGUUUGCUUGUGCUGUUAAGGGGACGAGUGCAUGUAUCUGGAGAUUAUGGGAGGGCUUAUUGCAUUUCAUGCUCACCUAUUAUGUGGGUUCACUGCCCAGCUGGCAGUGAGGGAUGGGCACCUGUCAAGCAAUUCAUCUCCUCCUUUGGCAGGGUCAAAUUCUUGUUCACUGGAAAAUUUCUGUGUAGUUACUCCUUGUUUUGCUUUUUCAAUCUAGUAGCAAAAUAGCAUGUAUCCUUAAGAAGCCUUACAAUCUUUUUUUUUUUUUAAUUAGACUCCUGAGUAUGCUAAAUCUUCAUGAAAAAUUAAUGAGACUGAAAAGCUCUGCUUCCCACGUAGUCUGCCAAGAAAAGUUUAGUUUUAUUAUCCUUCCCAUUGACUCUUCUGAACAGCCUUACCCUCACCUCGGGCAGCUAGCAGUGUUGUGGGUACAGGUGUUUGUGAUGGGGUGCAAGCAGAAACAAAGGGCUCAGCCAUCCCCACCCAGUCUCCAGCUCCAGAAAGGUCUGGGUGCAGUUUGCUGUAUGUACCCUGGCAGUAUAAAAUGCACAGACAAAAAUCUGUGUUCUCGCCCCUAUUUUGAAGAAAAGAAAACAACACCUUACUAUCCCAGCCUUAGGAAGGUCAGAAAGAAGGUGUUGUUUAUCAAUGAUCAUUUCAGUCAAGCAUUGGCUUUGGCCAGAGGACAGGUGCUACAGAGGUAACCCUUUUGUGGCUACAUGAACAGCCUUGCAUAAAGAAGCAUUUAUGUAUAUGCUUGCUCAGGAGUCAGAGAACUAUCACCUUGCACUUUAUUGCCAUAAAUUUUAGUUCUUGAGUGUACAGCAUGAGAUAAAGUCAAAGCACCCAUUUCAGCUGGUCUAACUUGUAUCCAUAACUGAACUCCGACAGGCUGCAGCAUUCAUUUUAAAGGAUCUGUUCAAACGAGCAAGACAAGCAAAGCUAAUGGGGC
RNAcentral lists this long non-coding RNA (5183 nucleotides) under Gallus gallus (chicken). The record is from RNAcentral. Lineage: Eukaryota; Metazoa; Chordata; Aves; Galliformes; Phasianidae.